RNAcentral lists this ribosomal RNA (557 nucleotides) under uncultured bacterium. Its description in RNAcentral is "bacterial SSU rRNA". It matches the Rfam family "Bacterial small subunit ribosomal RNA", at positions 338 to 916 of the family's 1533-position model. The record is from RNAcentral.
CCUACGGGAGGCAGCAGUGGGGAAUAUUGGACAAUGGGCGAAAGCCUGAUCCAGCAAUGCCGCGUGAGUGAUGAAGGCCUUAGGGUCGUAAAGCUCUUUUACCCGGGAUGAUAAUGACAGUACCGGGAGAAUAAGCCCCGGCUAACUCCGUGCCAGCAGCCGCGGUAAUACGGAGGGGGCUAGCGUUGUUCGGAAUUACUGGGCGUAAAGCGUGCGUAGGCGGUUAUUCAAGUCAGAGGUGAAAGCCCGGGGCUCAACCCCGGAACGGCCUUUGAAACUAGGUAGCUAGAAUCUUGGAGAGGUCAGUGGAAUUCCGAGUGUAGAGGUGAAAUUCGUAGAUAUUCGGAAGAACACCAGUGGCGAAGGCGACUGACUGGACAAGUAUUGACGCUGAGGCACGAAAGCGUGGGGAGCAAACAGGAUUAGAUACCCUGGUAGUCCACGCCGUAAACGAUGAUAACUAGCUGUUCGGGUACUUGGUAUCUGAGUGGCGCAGCUAACGCAUUAAGUUAUCCGCCUGGGGAUACGGUCGCAGNUAAACUCAAAGGAAUUGACGG